AUAUAUAUAGAACGUACAUGAUCAUACAAUCAGUUCAUAAUAAGCAGCAAACAAAAAUUAAAAAACAGGAAAUUUUAUAGUCAGUUUAUACUCAUCACAUCAGACAACCAGAGUUGGUGCAACCUGUAGAAACAUAACUAAUGGCAACCAAGAAAUUUGCAACUCUUUUACUACCUUUGUUGAUAGUCCUGCUAACACUCACCUUUAUCUCUAUGGUUUCAGGCGUGAAAACAUGUGAAGAACAGGGCCCAUGUGAGAGCCUAAAGAAAUGCGAAGUUCAUUGUAAACUAAAGGGAUACACAAUGGGGGCAGUUUGUUUACUGCAAGAAUCUACUGGUUAUAAUUCUUGUUGCUGCAAGACAAACCCUCCAGGUCGUCAUGUAUCCACUCCUCUUAAACCCUAACUAAUCAUUAUUCAGUGUGAAAUUAUGUACCCUCAAUUAUAUGAAUAAAAAAUUAUUAAACUUGAUAGA
Brassica napus (rape) is the source of this 473-nucleotide long non-coding RNA. RefSeq lists it as uncharacterized. Lineage: Eukaryota; Viridiplantae; Streptophyta; Magnoliopsida; Brassicales; Brassicaceae. The record is from RefSeq and is a predicted model, not a curated record. The transcript is spliced from 3 exons.